CCACCCGGACAGCGACAAGGAGAAGGAGGUCGAGGACGAACACCCGGACAGCGACAAGGAGAAGGAGGUCGAGGACGAACACCCGGACAGCGACAAGGAGAAGGAGGUCGAGGACGAACACCCGGACAGCGACAAGGAGAAGGAGGUCGAGGACGAACACCCGGACAGCGACAAGGAGAAGGAGGUCGAGGACGAACACCCGGACAGCGACAAGGAGAAGGAGGUCGAGGACGAACACCCGGACAGCGACAAGGAGAAGGAGGUCGAGGACGAACACCCGGACAGCGACAAGGAGAAGGAGGUCGAGGACGAACACCCGGACAGCGACAAGGAGAAGGAGGUCGAGGACGAACACCCGGACAGCGACAAGGAGAAGGAG
Molecule: long non-coding RNA, 379 nt
Organism: Penaeus monodon (black tiger shrimp)
Lineage: Eukaryota; Metazoa; Arthropoda; Malacostraca; Decapoda; Penaeidae
Exons: 2
Source: RefSeq, a predicted model, not a curated record